UCGAAAAAAAAAAAAAUUAAUUCACUUCUUCCAGAGUGCACUUUUAUGUGCAAUUUAAUGCACUCCCCACCACCAGUAAUGCCCCUUUUCUAAACUCACCCAGUCAUAUAUUGCCCAGUGAUACUGAUUUUUAUUGCAGUUUUACUAUUGAACUCCUGUAUUUUGAUUUCUAUCUUCAGGUGCUUAUGUCUUGUGUAAUGGAUAUAUUUCAUGUACUUCCUCAGAUUUCCUUCACUUUGUUUGCUUUCUGUACCCAUAAUCACUUGCUCUUUUUGGGGCUCACCAGUUGCAUUUCCGGAAUCUCUGGCUUCUCCUGCCACUUCUGAACAAUGCAGGAGCUGACUUCUCAGAGGCUGCUAGGGCCUCGGAUGGUUUCUCCAGUGUGUCUGGAGACAGGCAAGACUGAGGGAGUGUGCCUGCUGAAAAAGCUGCUGUGUCUCUUGUGGCUCAUUUUCAAGGAGGGGACAGCAAGCUCUUACUCCCGAAUUUGAUGAGUUCUGAGUUGUUGUCCCAUGACUGAGAAGAAUGAGGUACACGGACACUGGAGAGUGAGUAAGGCAAAG
This 563-nucleotide long non-coding RNA is filed under the name Homo sapiens (human). RNAcentral describes it as "HSALNT0317592". Lineage: Eukaryota; Metazoa; Chordata; Mammalia; Primates; Hominidae. The record is from RNAcentral.